This 2006-nucleotide unclassified non-coding RNA is filed under the name Leishmania donovani. RNAcentral's name for it is "gene:LdHU3.33.3530(CDS-product:succinyl-coA:3-ket oacid-coenzyme_A_transferase_mitochondrial_precursor_putati ve)". Lineage: Eukaryota; Euglenozoa; Kinetoplastea; Trypanosomatida; Trypanosomatidae. The record is from RNAcentral.
CCUCUUUCCCCUUGCUGUGCCCCACGCCUAACGCAAGCGAACCUUCGUCCUCCGUCGCUCCACCCUUCCCCCUUUUUUCCCCCACCCCCUCACGUGCUGCUCUCGUCCGAGACAAGCGUGUCGGUGUGUCCCCCAUCAAAAGUGCUUGUUUAACAGCUUCGUCUGCUGUCCCUUGUCGCACUUCUCGUGCUUUUUCUGUUUAAUUCCCUCCCUUUUUAAUUUUUCUUUUAUAUUUUCACGUUGCUGCCAUCCGUGUGCGCUCCUCCGCCGACAUAUCCGCGUGGAUAGUGAGCACAACCGAAAGCACCAACCAAAAAAAAACAUCAUCGUCCAGAACGAAAACGUAUCUGGCCACCACCUCGCAUCGCUAUUAUGCUUCGCCGUAACUUCUGGCGCCUCGUCGGCCUCAACAAGGUACAGUCCUUGGAGGAGGCCGUCGCGGACAUGACGGACGGCAUCUCUGUCGCGGUCGGCGGAUUUGGCUGCAGUGGUGUGCCGGACGCUGUCAUCAGCGCCAUGUGCAAAAAGGGUGUAAAGGAGAUGAUUCUCUACACGGACUCGGCGGGUAUCGACGGCUUUGGUCUCGCCCGUCUCAUCGAGACGAAGCAGGUGCGCCGCAUGUGCUGUUCGUUUGUGGGCAUGAACAAGAUCUUUAAGAGGCGCUACCUCGAGGGCGACGUUGAGCUGGAGUUUGUGCCGCAAGGAACACUGGCGGAGCGCAUGCGUGCCGGCGGCGCGGGCAUCCCUGCCUUCUACACGGCGACGGCGUACGGCACGCAGCGUCAGACAGGAGGGCAGAUUAUCCGGUACGACAAGAACGGCGUGCCGUGUGUCAUCUCGGAGCCGAAGGAGACGCGGCAGUUCGGGAAUCGGUGGUACGUUCUGGAGAAGACGAUCCGGCCGGAUUACGCGAUUGUGAAGGCGCUGAAGGCGGACAAGAGCGGCAACCUUGUGUUCCGCGGGACUGCGCGCAACUUCAACAUCCCCGCUGCGCAGUGUGGGCGGCGCGUGAUCGCGGAAGUGGAGCAGGUAGUAGAGAACGGCGAAAUCCACCCGGACGACGUGCACUUGCCUGGCGUGUACGUGCACCGCGUUGUGCAGGCGUCGUACGAGGUGCCCAUCGAGAAGCGAACGGUGUCCGGUAGCGGCGCAGAGCCGAGCAGCGUGAACCCGAACGACGACCGCCAGAAGAUCGCGCGGCGGGCGGCGCUGGAGUUUGCAGACGGCAUGUAUGCGAACCUCGGCAUCGGCAUCCCGACGGAGGCGGCGAACUAUAUGCCCGCCGGCGUGACGGUGACGCUGCAUUCUGAGAACGGGCUGUUGGGCAUGGGCCCGUUCCCGACAGCGGACAAGGUGAGCGCCGACUGGAUCAAUGCCGGAAAGCAGACGAUCUCCUUCCUGCCGGGAGCAGCGUGCUUCGACAGCGCGACGUCGUUCGCGAUGAUUCGCGGCGGCCACAUGAACCUGACGAUGCUGGGUGCGCUUGAGGUUUCGUCGAACGGCGACCUCGCGAACUGGGGUAUCCCCGGCAAGCUCGUCAACGGCCCUGGUGGUGCGAUGGACCUCGUCGCGAGCGGCUCUCGCGUGGUGGUGACGAUGUCACACUGCAACAAGAGAGGCGACUCGAAGCUUGUGGAGAGGUGUUCGCUGCCCGUGACGGGCCUGCAUUGCGUGACCCGCAUCAUCACGGAAAAAGCCGUGUUUGACGUGAUCGACAAACAUCUCGUGCUGAAGGAGGUCGCGGAGGGUCUGACAGUGGACGACAUCAAGAAGUGCACUGCUGCUCACUUCGAAGUGGACAAGGUGAAACCGAUAGCAUACGCAGCCCCCGUAUCCGGCUAAACGGGUGGGCCAUGCGUAUCUCGCGGCCUGACGGUGCUGAUCGUAUCAUGGAUGACCCUAGAGCGGGAGGCCCUUUUCACCUCGAAGCUGCGAGGCGCCUCUGACUGCUCUCGAUGCCUAUUUAAGCAUUCUAUAUAUUCUCCGACGCCGCGGAGCAUACCUUG